CAAGCAUUUUCUCCAGGAUACACAUUUGUUAUGUGUAAUGGUUUGUGUCUAUCAUUUGUAAUAUGGAACAAUAGCCCCCACAGCUAAUUGUCCACUUGCCAUAUUUACUUAUUUAUUCGAUCAACACUCUUUUCCCACUCUGUGCGUGACCCCAGAUUUACAGUGUGGUAAUUUGUUUAAAAAAAAGAUCAAUUUGAGAAUGUGCAUCACAGAAGCACAGUGUCAGCUGAAGGUCUUAAAGGACCACUCCGGUGAUUCAGCUUUACUGUUUAGUAAACUUGCAUCAGAGGCUGCGUUAUCUUAUUAGUGCCUUGCAUGGGUCAAGCUCCAAAAAACAAAGUCCUACAUCUCCCACAUCCUUUAAAUUCUGCAUAAAUGUACAGUUUGUAACGCAGGCUGUUUGGGACUCUGCAAGGCCUGUCAGAAUUACACGGGUGAUGUGGUGUAUUUAAUUUCCUUUUAUUAGUUUAUUUAACAGAGAGAAAGAGAUAUCAACUGAAACAGGAGACAGCAUUUCAAGAAUAAAUGGACUAGGACAAUAAUGCUGGGUCACUUUUAAGGCAACUAACAUGGAUCCGACAUGUCUCUCCUGUAUUAAUGUUUCCCCUUCUUUUUCACUGAGGCAGAUUAACCAGCUGAAAAACUCCAGAUUUUAUCAAUGAAUCUGACGCCAAAAUCAUAGUGGCAGAUAAAUGGUGGAAAGAGCUGCAAGCUGUAAGCCUAGUUGUAGUCAUCAGCUGGCUUACUGGUUAAUUUAAAAACCAUUAUUAUUAUUAUUAUUAAUAAACUGUUUACAUCACUUGUUGAGGUUUCACAUUCGCUGUAUUUCCUCCAUGUCAGGUUUAAUGUUGAAUAUAUCAUCAUGGACAAAAUGUUUGAAGUUAUAAUACAAUAUUAUUAUGUGUCUCCUCGAUGUUUUUGCAGUGAUACAACUUCCUCUCCAUGCAGGCACAAUGCUGGUACAUACUGUCGCACUUUUUAGGGAAAUGAGACCCCAAUAUAAACCAUAUUAACCCCCGCCACAGACAUACUAUACACACACACAUACACACACUGCAAAGAGAAGCGUCUAAAGUCACGGAAACGGUGACAUAAAAAUACGAAGUGUAAUAUUUUGCAACAUGAGUAUCAUUCCAAUAAAGUUUUACUUGUAAAAUUCUCC
Molecule: long non-coding RNA, 1162 nt
Organism: Astatotilapia calliptera (eastern happy)
Lineage: Eukaryota; Metazoa; Chordata; Actinopteri; Cichliformes; Cichlidae
Source: Ensembl